AGGAUUAACGCUGGCGGCGUGCAUGAGACAUGCAAGUCGAACGGACGAGUGGGCUUGCUCACUCGUUAGUGGCGGACGGCUGAGUAACGCGUAGGUGACCUGCCCCGAAGUGGGGAAUAACUGCCCGAAAGGGUGGCUAAUACCGCAUGUGGUGCCACGUUCAUUCGUGUCUCCAAAGCCGUAAGGCGCUUCGGGAGGGGCCUGCGUCCGAUUAGCUCGUUGGUGGGGUAAUGGCUCACCAAGGCGACGAUCGGUAGGUGGUCUGAGAGGACGAUCACCCAGACUGGGACUGAGACACGGCCCAGACUCCUACGGGAGGCAGCAGUCGGGAAUUUUGCUCAAUGGGCGCAAGCCUGAAGCAGCAACGCCGCGUGGGGGAUGACGGCCUUCGGGUUGUAAACCUCUUUUCUUGGGGACGAUAAUGACGGUACCCGAGGAAUAAGUCACGGCUAACUACGUGCCAGCAGCCGCGGUAAUACGUAGGUGACGAGCGUUGUCCGGAUUUACUGGGCGUAAAGAGCGCGCAGGCGGUCGUACAAGUCGAGUGUGAAAUCUCCCGGCUCAACUGGGAAACGUCGCUCGAUACUGUUCGACUUGAAGGCGGGAGGGGGAAGCGGAAUUCCCGGUGUAGUGGUGAAAUGCGUAGAUAUCGGGAGGAACACCAGUGGCGAAGGCGGCUUUCUGGCCCGUUCUUGACGCUGAGGCGCGAAAGCUAGGGUAGCAAACGGGAUUAGAUACCCCGGUAGUCCUAGCCGUAAACGAUGGACACUAGGUGUUGGUGGUAUCAACCCCGCCAGUGCCGAAGCUAACGCAUUAAGUGUCCCGCCUGGGGAGUACGGCCGCAAGGCUAAA
Molecule: ribosomal RNA, 852 nt
Filed under: uncultured soil bacterium
Lineage: Bacteria
Description: bacterial SSU rRNA
Rfam family: Bacterial small subunit ribosomal RNA
Source: RNAcentral